AUGAACGCUGGCGGCGUGCUUAACACCUGCCAGUCGCACGGAAAGGCCAGUGCUUGCACUGGUACUCGAGUGGCGAACGGGUGAGUAACACGUGGGUGAUCUGCCCUGUACUUCGGGAUAAGCUUGGGAAACUGGGUCUAAUACCGGAUAGGACAACUUUUUGGAUAUUGUUGUGGAAAGCUUUUGCGGUAUGGGAUGAGCUCGCGGCCUAUCAGCUUGUUGGUGGGGUAAUGGCCUACCAAGGCGUCGACGGGUAGCCGGCCUGAGAGGGUGUACGGCCACAUUGGGACUGAGAUACGGCCCAGACUCCUACGGGAGGCAGCAGUGGGGAAUAUUGCACAAUGGGCGCAAGCCUGAUGCAGCGACGCCGCGUGGGGGAUGAAGGCCUUCGGGUUGUAAACUCCUUUCGCUAGGGACGAAGCUUUUUUGUGACGGUACCUGGAGAAGAAGCACCGGCUAACUACGUG
RNAcentral lists this ribosomal RNA (467 nucleotides) under uncultured bacterium. RNAcentral's name for it is "partial 16S ribosomal RNA". It matches the Rfam family "Bacterial small subunit ribosomal RNA", at positions 29 to 507 of the family's 1533-position model. The record is from RNAcentral.